AAAGACAACCCUCUGGCUCGUGUCGGUUGCCGUACCAUCGACGUGCAAGUCGAUAUUAACUAUUACAACAUGAUCAUCUCAUACAUCCAAUAUAUCAGAUCACGUCAUUGGCCAUAUCACAUCACAAGCAUACCCUGCAAAAACAAGUUAGACGUCCUCUAAUUCUUGUUGCAUGUUUUACGUGGUGACCAUGGGUAUCUAGUAGGAUCGCAUCUUACUUACGCAAACACCACAACGGAGAUAUAUGAAUUGCUAUUUAACCUCAUCCAAGGACCUCCUCGGUCAAAUCCGAUUCAACUAAAGUUGGAGAAACCGACACUUGCCAGUCAUCUUUGAGAAACGGGGUUGCUUGUAGCGAUGAAACCAGUCUCUCGUAAGCGUACGAGUAAUGUCGGCCGAUCCGCUUUGAUCCAACAAUACCGCGGAAUCAAGAAAAGACUAAGAAGGGCAGCAAAUCACACAACACCGCCCACAAAAACUUUUGUGUUCUACUCGAGAUGACAUCUACGCAUGAACCUAGCUCAUGAUGCCACUGUUGGGGAACGUCGCAUGGGAAACAAAAAUUUUCCUACGCGCACGAAGACCUAUCGUGGUGAUGUCCAUCUAUGAAGCAGAUCUACGUACCCUUGUAGAUCGCACAACGGAAGCGUUAAUAAACGCGGUUGAUGUAGUNAUCCAUACUAACUCAACGGACACCUUCGGAGAUACUUGUAGAGCAUCUUUAUAGUCACCCAGUUACGUUGUGACGUUUGAUACACACAAGGUAUUCCUCCAGUGUCAGUGAGUUAUAUGAUCUCAUGGUCAUAGGAAUAAAUACUUGACACGCAGAAAAACAGUAGCAACAAAAUGACACGAUCAACAUGCUACGUUCAUUAGUUUGGGUCUAGUCCAUCACAUGAUUCUCCUAAUGAUGUGAUCCCGUUAUAAAGUGACAACACUUGCCUAUGGUCAGGAAACCUUGACCAUCUUUGAUCAACGAGCUAGUCAACUAGAGGCUUACUAGGGACAGUGUUUUGUCUAUGUAUCCACACAAGUAUUUUGUUUGCAAUCAAUACAAUUAUAACAUGGAUAAUAAACGAUUAUCACGAACAAAGAAAUAUAAUAAUAACUAAUUUAUUAUUGCCUCUAGGGCAUAUUUCCAACAGCAGCACGGCGGGCCGCCAGCUCAGGGAUCGUCAGGAUGUGGUCAUCCUGAAGGAUCCGGGACUGGCUGAUCCGCGCGCUCUGUCGCGCUGCCACCACGGGGGAGGCGCCCUCACAGGGCCUAGAGCGGGGCGCGGGAGGGGUCUAAGACACCCAGCCAGGGUCGACGGCCGUAGGGUGGCCCGGGUCCGGGGACCCCAAGGUUGGGGAGGGAGGGGACCCCGGAGAACGCGAGUAGCACACCACCCUGGGCGAGCGUGGGGACGAGGCAGGGCACACCUCCACACCCACACUCACCUCCUCCUCGGCGGCGACCACCGGGCCAGCAGAGACAGGGAGAGGCAGCCUAGUGCCUACCGCCGCCACCGGCACCAGAGCCACCACUGGGGUACCCCGUGUGAGCCCCAACGGUCCAGCGGCCGGGGUGUCGGGGUUGCGCCGAGCAUCAGACAAUUCGGGCGGAGCCCCUCCAGCAUCAUCAUCUCCCUCCAAAGAUGAACCCUCCUCCGAAGAGCCCCCCUCGUCGUCAAGCCCCCCGUCGCCAGGCUCUGGACCAACCGUGGUCGGGUCCAGCGAGUCCACUGGAGCCAAGAACUCAAGCUCUAAGGUGAGGCGCCUGCCCUUGGAACCGAAGUAGAAGACCAAGGGCAGGCCAUCAAUCUCAGCAGGGGCCGAGCAAAGGAUCUCAAUGCGGGCGGGACCAUCAUCCUCAAAUGAUGCCAGGUCGGCGGUGAUCAGCUUGCCCAUCGGCUCGGAGAUUGCUUUCAGGAUGUGAGUAAGCUUGCCACCCCUCGGAGCCACACUGCCUCCCCUCGGGAGGCCAUAGACGAGGACCCACACCUUCUCCAGGGGCGGGACGGGGUCAGGCUCCGCUGCCGCCGCCUGGACGAAAAUCAUGAACUUGUUGAUGGGACAGCGGAUGAGGUCAUGUGAGCAGAACCGGAGGAGCUCGACCGAGGUGAAAGGGACCGAGAAGAUGAGAGGGGCCGUCUCAGUCACCUCCCAUGCGAACUCGGAGUCUCAAAAGUCGCCAAUGUAAGCCGCAAGCUCGGCUCGGAUGACGUCGGCCGAGAUCAACAACCCAUUCGGGGUGGCCUGCUCGGGAGCCAGGGUGACCGUCGCCAGGUGAGGCCGAGCCGCCUCCUCCUCAAUCUCCGCAUCCAUGAAGUAGAAACUCCCCCGCUCAGUACCAUACCCAAGAUAGGCGAGGGUCAUGGGGCAGCGCGGGGGGGCCUCGCACUUCGAGCGGAAGUGACCUGCGCAUCCGCAGUUGAUGCACAUCGUGUCCUCACGGGAGCGCUGGCGACUAACCCGAGCGGGGNNNNNNNNNNNNNNNNNNNNNNNNNNNNNNNNNNNNNNNNNNNNNNNNNNNNNNNNNNNNNNNNNNNNNNNNNNNNNNNNNNNNNNNNNNNNNNNNNNNNNNNNNNNNNNNNNNNNNNNNNNNNNNNNNNNNNNNNNNNNNNNNNNNNNNNNNNNNNNNNNNNNNNNNNNNNNNNNNNNNNNNNNNNNNNNNNNNNNNNNNNNNNNNNNNNNNNNNNNNNNNNNNNNNNNNNNNNNNNNNNNNNNNNNNNNNNNNNNNNNNNNNNNNNNNGGGGGGGGGGGGGGGGGGUCCGGAGCCUCCUGCUCAAGAGCCCCGGGCGGGGUCAGGCAACCAGCACCCCCCGGGAGUAGCAGUAGCGGCCUUCUUCUUCUUUGACUUCUUCUUCUUCUUUGCCGGAGCCGGGGCGGGCAGGGGAGCCACAUGCGGGAUCUCUGGGGACACGCGCCUAGAAGGCCCGUCGUCCCGGCGCGAGUCCGCACCCUCCGCCCAGGUGGAGCACCAGUCAGAGCGGCGGUCCUCAUCACUGCGCCGCAUAUGCGGACUGCCUCGCCACUCCUCCCGGUGAUGGCCCUGGCGAUCCCGCCGCCAUGUGGAUGCCGAGGACCUGUGAGCAGGGGCUCGAGCCGGGGGAGCGCGAGGAGAAGGCGUGUCCCGGGGCCGAGACACCGGAGGGGGACGCGCCACCAACUCCGCCCGCAGGGCCGCUUCCCGGUCUACGUCGGAGAUGGACGACCGGGCGGCCUCCCGGCGGCGAGAGUCCCCCGGUGAGCCCGGCAGGGGCAAGCGGGGGUCCCGGUCCGGGUCCCGAGGAGGCGGGGGGGCGGCGGAGGGAGGUUCCGGAGUAGUAUUCCGGGGACCUCCCUAGCCGGUUGGUACCCACGCGGCCGGAACGAGACAAGCCAGCGCCAACACCCCCCUCCGGGGCGAGGUCACGGGCAGCCAUCACGGGAUGGGGGCCCUGGUCGGCCGGGACUGGCCAUCCCCAACUUGUCUAGUCAUCAGGGCCUCCCUGUAGGAGCGCCUCGGGGCGGGGAGGCCGAGAGGAGAGGACGACCGAGUGGGGGCAGAGGGGGCGGCCGCGGCGCCUACGAGCCGCGCGCAGGGGGGCUAGGUCGAGGCGUCGGGCAGCAGGGUGCCGUCCAGCCGCCGGGGGGAAUCGGGCACGGGCUGGGACGAGGCACGAGCGACGCCGCGAGAGGGAGGGGUAGCGCGCUCGGGAAACGGGGACGAGACAAGGGAACGAGGUGGCGGCGGCGCAUGGUUUGGAGGGGGAAACCUAGCCCCGUGCAUGCCCGGCCGCCUCGGGCCUAGGCCGCGUUUCACCGGCUGGGGAGGGGCCUGGUGGGCCGAAGCCCACCGUUGGUUUAACCGCGCCAGCACGCGCGACGCGCGUCGGGCGGCCCAUGCCACCUCGCUAGCUGAGAAGACCGACGGCCCAGUCCGCAACGGCCCAGAGGGGGGCUGACGGCCCACCCGCCCGCAGGCUUGCCCGGCGCGCUAGGGCACGGGGAAGGUCGCAUCGCACGGGAUCCUCCCGCCGUCGGCACCGGUGCCGCCGCCGUGCAAGGGGGCAGGGCACCAGCGCCUGGCCGGGCCUCGCAGGCGCCCUCACCGACGGCCGCCACGGGGGAUAGCCCGGGCAGCACAUCGACUCGGGCCGAGGAGGAGCGAGAGGGCGCCACCGGGAGAGGCCGCCAGAGCCUGGGCGCCGGGGACCGCCGCCCAACCACCUUCACCGGCCGCCGGCGGGCAGGGCGCGCCGCGGCCAGGAAUAGGCCGAGCUGCGGUGGCGCCAGAGAGACUGGCAUCUCCAGCCGGCCCUCCCCAUCCGAGCGAGGCUCCAGCUCGUCAUCGUCGAGCUCCUCCGCCCAGUCCGCCCAGCGCCGCGCCGACCGGGGAAAGCAGAGGGAGGGCGCCGCUGGCAGGGAUUGCGGAGGCAUCGGGUCCAUGCGGCUCGCCGGCCGGGCGCCAUCAGAGGGCCACGCGCGUCAUCGGUCCAUCCGCCACGGUCGCCAUUUCCCCCCUCCUGUUGGUACACCGUCCCUUUCUCUUCUCCCCAUCCGAGAUUCUCUUCAGAGGGCGCUAUGAGGCACCACGCUUGAAUGAUACGAUCGAAUCAUUCACCUUUGUCUUACUUGCCACUGAGUUAGUCAAACUUUUCGGUCUUUGCCACGUCAGCCCUGCUCCACCUGUCGGUUUUAUUGUUUUCGCGGUCAAACCCCAGCAUCAGUGCUCCGCGUUACGCAUUAGUUUUAUUUUUGAUGGUUUUUUUUGCCCUGUUUUAAAUGUGGUACCAAGUUGUUAUCCUUGCUCCAAAUGUGAUAAUUUUGGGUAAAUAACUUAGUACCAGCCGAUGUCAUGGACCAGCUCAUGCUCAAGAUGAAAAUGAAUUAACACUACAUUGUAAACACCGAAGUGUUUGUCAGGUUUAGCAAAGCGCCAAGGUGGUUGCCGGUUAUCACUAAUCCGCUCUGAAUCACCCGGCUUGUCUGAUAUUGAUACUGGAGCAGUAUAAAACCACCCGAUCGGCAAUGGAGUCAUGCAUGUAACCUGAAUUAGUUGAAAUACCUUGUCGACUGCCAAGUGCCAAACAGAUUUCCCCGACACACAAGAGAGAUGUGCUCCAGAUCAACUCCACUCCCGUUCAGGUCUCGUUCGGCCAAUCCCCUCUACAAGGGCACCAAAUCGAACAGGGUUGCUCUGAACACGGCAGUUCCGAACAAGACAUGCUGCAAGUUCCUUCCCCGCGUCACCUCCGUCGCGCCUAGUUCGUCGCCGUUGCUGCAUGUGACCCGCGGGGAGCAGAGGCUGCGGAGCUGCCCGGCGGCGAGGUCGAACGACGGCACGACGGCGGGUGAGCCCGAGGCGCUGCGGGAGGCCAACGGGAAGCAGGGAGGCGAGAGAGUGGCGAGGAGGAAGGGCGCCGUGCAGGAGGUGUUUGAAGGCCUCUACAUCUGCGGCUACGUGCUGUGCUAUAGGCUUGGCGAGCUCGUCUCGUAUAAGGUGAAGGAAGCUAUCGCCAAACUUCGCAAGAGACGAUGAUAUGCUGGUGGUUGAUCGGGCUAAUUACCUACUUGUUGCGUGCUUAGUCUCCUCCAUGCAUUCAUCCGCCAGACUGUCACUCCGUGUUACAGGUUAAUUACGGACGCAUGGAGAUGCAUUCCCUUAUGUAACUGUCCGUCUGUUAAGUUCGCUGGACACAUAGGAUUCUGUGUAGUAUUUUGGUGGUUUCCUUUUGAAUAGUACAAAAGAUUAUUUUGUUUAUGAUUAUCGACUUUAUCAGAUCAAAAAUGUUAAACCUACAAAGAGUUACACACGGUUACACUGACUAGGAUUCUUUCUUUCUAACUAAUCUCUCCCUCCCUAAUUUUCAAGGAGGCGGGGCCUCAUCCCUCUUAACCUUCAAUCAAAAUCCACCUACCUGUAAAACCCUUGUAAACUUAUGUACGUAUAGCAUUAUCGUUAUCGGGUUAGAUUGAGACGACUACUUUGGGCUAACUGAUUUUCGAGGGGGGUGGGGCCUCAUCCCUCUUAACCUUUAAUCAAAAUCCACCUGCCUGUAAAACCCCUGUAAACUUAUGUACGUAUAGCAUUACCGUUAUCGGAUUGGAUUGAGACAAUUACUUUGGGCUAAAUAACUAACAGUAAACAAGUUUAAAACAAAUAAAAUCGAAUUGUUUUCUCUCGACUCUCCUCUCACGACAAACAUGCCACAUCCAACAAGAAGGCGGCGGUUUAGAUCAUUCCUACCUUCAUUUGCUGCUCCAGUUGGACCGGAUCCUAGUUCUUUCCAAACUUGUACUAGUUCUCUUUAAUUAUAAUUAUUUUGGUAUAAAGGAAGUACUACAUAGUUGUAGGGGUAGUACGUCGAGGGGUGUCGUUGAGAUGGUGGGAGGGGCGCACCAAAUAAAGUUUACAUCAGCCCAUUUUCAUACUGGUGGCAUCCCUCACCGUGUCGUCUUGGGGUUCUUUUGCAUUUUCUACUCGCGGGUCCUUCAAUUGGCGGGAUAAGGUCUCUUGAAUGUUUGGUCGUAAUUUAAUCAGAGGUUUAGAGCUUCUAAAGUCGGACCCCUCAAAUGAUCCCGCAUACGCUCGUGGACGCGUUCCGGACAAGAGAGAGAAGGAAAAAAGGUGAUCCAAUUGAAUCCCUCAUAUCAUCCUUAUAUGUCGGGGCUGUCCGCGAACCCUCAUAUCCAUCUCAAACAUGGGGAGGAUAUAAGGGCUCACGGACGCGCCUGGGCACACCCACUAAGUCCGCCACAUAGGACGCGGCCCUACCCCAGGCCAUCCUUUUCUUUUUUUAUUCAUUAUUUUCUUUCUUUCUCUUCCUCUCCACCAAUCACGUGCAAGUGACCAUAUAUAUGAGGAAAAAAUUAGGUGUAUAAUUGCGCGGACGGAUAAAUAGAUGACACGCACUGUCACUAAUCGGGCGCGUCCGCGGACGUUCAGGGGGUCAUAUUUGUAAUGUCUGAUUGUAGAUGCUCUUAUAUCCUCCUACUCUAUCUUCAUCGAUGUGUGUAUCCUCCAACACAGUAAAAGAGGAUGUGACUCUGAUCUGGAAGUGGUCGACGACUGCUGCGAGACAACAUGGUUUGCCUAGAGCAAGGGAAGAGUCCCGAGGAUGGCUUGUGUGGCAAUCUUCCUUGACAUUGUUGAUGGGUAGUGCCAUAUCUGAGGUCAGGAAGGCAAGGGGGUGAUCCUUGGUCGGCAUGCGACACCGUUUUGUGUCAUGUUGUGUGCCCUAGCGGUGGCAAUGCAUUUCUAGCUAUGGUAACGAAGAAGGCAUUUCCCCUCUUUCUCCGGUUGUUGUCUCGAGUGAGUGAGAGGUCGGAAAUGACAUGUGUAGUGAGCCCAAGCAAAACAUUUAUAUUUUUAAUUUUUCGUGAACUUUAAUUCUUGCGAAGUUACCAUGCCAGUUGUCAUGUUCAUGUGUCUUUCUUUAGUUUCGGUGUGAUCUCACUUUAGUUUAAUGACAUAGACGGUUUUCUCAAGAUAAAAUGUUUACAAUCACAAACUUUCCGGGCAGCAGCUCGACGAACGCACUCUGCAAACAGAGUUUGCAAUUUAAAUUUAAAUUAUCCUCAUUAGUUUUUUCUUAGAACCUCUAAGAAAAGAAAGAAAUUAUAUGAGUUGCGAGCCUAACACUUGCACAAGUAUAAGGUGUUUACCAAGUAUACCAAAGAAAACCGAGUCACAUGUUGCAAUAACAUCUUGUAUUAUGGGACGACGGGGUAUAAGUUAAUGGAAUACUGGAACCGCUUAUGAUCGAAAACCUGCUAUAUGACAAUGUCGGCGGAAUAAAACCGUCAUCACUGAUGUAGAUAUAAUUGGGCUUGCUACGAGCGGCAUGUAGAAAAUGGAAGAUGCAAUGGCAGGAGGAAUUUAACACCAAAUAGAAAGCAAACUAGGAGAUAUUGAAUUAAAAAAUCCCACAAAUUACACAGGUUGACGUGACGUGACAAAAAAGGGCAGAUAAACAUGUUGAGCACGGCUAAACAUCCACGAGAUACACCAUUUUUUGGUGUAACAUCAUCCGCAUCCAGCGGCUAAAAAUCCGAGAACACGAGUACGGGUAACACGUACGCAUCCAGCGGUUAACCGUGCUUAUCAAUACGAAAAUAAUAAAACUUACACCACAUCAUCCGCACGUAUACACCCAUGCGGCCAAUGCAAUGCUAGUAAUCGAAUUAACUCCUCCUCUACUGUCCCUUCAGUAGAGGAAAUAUGCGACGAGGGAGGCGACGAGGGCGGCGGGGGCGAUGGCCACCUCAGAGGCGUCGCUGGUGGCAGGAGCCUCGGAGGCCAUGACGGCGGUGGCCGAGGCGGCGGCGAUGAGGGCGGCGAAGGCGAUCUUCUUCAUCUCCAUUUUUUGGACGGGCGGGCGGGCGGUGGUGCGGCGAAGACCGGCGAGGUGACGGGAGGUUAUUGAUCACGGUUUUAUUGGCUGGCACUUGGAGUGUCUUAUUUUUGCUUGAUGGUAGCUGAUGCUUGGCAGUGGAUUUUAUAGGUCAGGAUGGUUGGGGUAUGAGUGGCUAGGAGCAGGAUUAGGAUGAUCGCGCUCUUGGUAACCAUGGAAUGCUUUAA
RNAcentral lists this long non-coding RNA (8548 nucleotides) under Hordeum vulgare. RNAcentral describes it as "long non-coding RNA (HVUL_LNC002092)". Lineage: Eukaryota; Viridiplantae; Streptophyta; Magnoliopsida; Poales; Poaceae. The record is from RNAcentral.